ACCCUGGGAAACUGGGGCUAAUACCGCAUAUGGACUGAGGUCCAAAGCCGUAAGGCGCCUUAUGAGCGGCCUGCGUCCGAUUAGGUAGUUGGUGGGGUAAAGGCCUACCAAGCCUGCGAUCGGUAGCUGGUCUGAGAGGACGAUCAGCCACACUGGGACUGAGACACGGCCCAGACUCCUACGGGAGGCAGCAGUGGGGAAUAUUGGACAAUGGGCGCAAGCCUGAUCCAGCAAUGCCGCGUGGGUGAAGAAGGUCUUCGGAUUGUAAAGCCCUUUCGACGGGGACGAUGAUGACGGUACCCGUAGAAGAAGCCCCGGCUAACUUCGUGCCAGCAGCCGCGGUAAUACGAAGGGGGCUAGCGUUGCUCGGAAUUACUGGGCGUAAAGGGCGCGUAGGCGGCACUGUUAGUCAGGCGUGAAAGUCCUGGGCUCAACCUGGGAACUGCGCUUGAUACGGCAGAGCUAGAGGAUGGAAGAGGCUCGCGGAAUUCCCAGUGUAGAGGUGAAAUGCGUAGAUAUCGGGAGGAACACCUGUGGCGAAAGCGGCUCACUGGACCAUAACUGACGCUGAGGCACGAAAGCUAGGGGAGCAAACAGGAUUAGAUACCCUGGUAGUCCUAGCCCUAAACGAUGAUCGCUUGGGUGU
This 646-nucleotide ribosomal RNA is filed under the name uncultured bacterium. RNAcentral's name for it is "bacterial SSU rRNA". It matches the Rfam family "Bacterial small subunit ribosomal RNA", at positions 146 to 824 of the family's 1533-position model. The record is from RNAcentral.